Molecule: long non-coding RNA, 3065 nt
Organism: Mytilus californianus (California mussel)
Lineage: Eukaryota; Metazoa; Mollusca; Bivalvia; Mytilida; Mytilidae
Exons: 2
Source: RefSeq, a predicted model, not a curated record
UUCAGUCUUUUUAACAAUGUAAUGUUAGAGGCAGCUUGUGUUGUAGCCUUUUUAGCUCACCUGGCCCAAAGGGCCAAGUGAGCUUUUCUCAUCACUUGGCGUCCGUCGUCGGCGUUAACUUUUUACAUUUUGAACUUCUUCUAGAGAACCACUGAAUGGAAUGAAACCAAACAUGGCAUGAAUGUUCCUUAUGAUGUGCUGACCAAGUGUUGUUACUUUGUAGCGGAUCCAUAAUCCAAGAUGGCCGCCAGCGGGGGACUUAGUUUAACAUAGGACCCUAUGGGAAAUACAUGCAAAUGUCUUCUUUAAGAGAACCACUGAAUGGAAUGAAACCAAACAUGGCAUGAAUGUUUCUUAUGAGGUGCUGACCAAGUGUUGUUACUUUGAAGCUGAUCCAUAAUCCAAGAUGGCCGCCAGUGGGGGACUUAGUUUAACAUGGGACCCUAUGGGAAAUACAUACAAAUGUCUUCUUUUAGAGAACCACUGAAUGGAAUGAAACCAAACAUGGCAUGAAUGUUCCUUAUGAGGUGCUGACCAAGUGUUGUUACUAUAAAGCUGAUCCAUAAUCCAAGAUGGCCGCCAGCAGGGGACUUAGUUUAACUUUGGACCCUAUGGGAAAUACAUACAAAUGUCUUCUUUUAGAGAACCACUGAAUGGAAUGAAACCAAACAUGGCAUGAAUGUUUCUUAUGAGGUGCUGACCGAGCGUUGUUACUUUGAAGCCGAUCCAUAAUCCAAGAUGGCCGCCUGCAGGGGACUUAGUUUAACAUGGGACCCUAUGAGAAAUACAUACAAAUGUCUUCUUUUAGAGAACCACUGAAUGGAAUGAAACCAAACAUGGCAUGAAUGUUCCUUAUGAGGUGCUGACCAAGUGUUGUUACUAUGAAGCUGAUCCAUAAUCCAAGAUGGCCGCCAGCAGGGGACUUAGUUUAACAUUGGACCCUAUGGGAAAUACAUACAAAUGUCUUCUUUUAGAGAACCACUGAAUGGAAUGAAACCAAACAUGGCAUGAAUGUUUCUUAUGAGGUGCUGACCGAGUGUUGUUACUUUAAAGCCGAUCCAUAAUCCAAGAUGGCCGCCUGCAGGGGACUUAGUUUAACAUGGGACCCUAUGAGAAAUACAUACAAAUGUCUUCUUUUAGAGAACCACUGAAUGGAAUGAAACCAAACAUGGCAUGAAUGUUCCUUAUGAGGUGCUGACCAAGUGUUGUUACUUUGAAGCCGAUCCAUAAUCCAAGAUGGCUGCCAGCGGGGGACUUAGUUUAACAUGGGACCCUAUGGGAAAUACAUACAAACGUCUUCUUUUAGAGAACCACUGAAUGGAAUGAAACCAAACAUGGCAUGAAUGUUUCUAAUGAGGUGCUGACCGAGUGUUGUUACUUUGUAGCGGAUCCAUCAUCCAAGAUGGCCGCCAGCGGGGGACUUAGUUUAACAUAGGACCCUAUGGGAAAUACAUACAAAUGUCUUCUUUUAGAGAACCACUGAAUGCAAUGAAACCAAACAUGGCAAGAAUGUUCCUUAUGAGGUGCUGACCAAGUGUUGUUACUAUGAAGCUGAUCCAUAAUCUAAGAUGGCCGCCAGCGGAGGACUUAGUUUAACAUAGGACCCUAUGAGAAAUACGUACAAAUGUUUUCUUUUAGAGAACCAUUGAAUGGAAUAAAAGCAAACAUGGCAUGAAUGUUCCUUAUGAGGUGCUGACCAAGUGUUGUUACUAUGAAGCUGAUCCAUAAUCCAAGAUGGCCGCCAGCAGGGGACUUAGUUUAACAUUGGACCCUAUGGGAAAUACAUACAAAUGUCUUCUUUUAGAGAACCACUGAAUGGAAUGAAACCAAACAUGGCAUGAAUGUUUCUUAUGAGGUGCUGACCGAGUGUUGUUACUUUAAAGCCGAUCCAUAAUCCAAGAUGGCCGCCUGCAGGGGACUUAGUUUAACAUGGGACCCUAUGAGAAAUACAUACAAAUGUCUUCUUUUAGAGAACCACUGAAUGGAAUGAAACCAAACAUGGCAUGAAUGUUCCUUAUGAGGUGCUGACCAAGUGUUGUUACUUUGAAGCCGAUCCAUAAUCCAAGAUGGCUGCCAGCGGGGGACUUAGUUUAACAUGGGACCCUAUGGGAAAUACAUACAAACGUCUUCUUUUAGAGAACCACUGAAUGGAAUGAAACCAAACAUGGCAUGAAUGUUUCUAAUGAGGUGCUGACCGAGUGUUGUUACUUUGUAGCGGAUCCAUCAUCCAAGAUGGCCGCCAGCGGGGGACUUAGUUUAACAUAGGACCCUAUGGGAAAUACAUACAAAUGUCUUCUUUUAGAGAACCACUGAAUGCAAUGAAACCAAACAUGGCAAGAAUGUUCCUUAUGAGGUGCUGACCAAGUGUUGUUACUAUGAAGCUGAUCCAUAAUCUAAGAUGGCCGCCAGCGGAGGACUUAGUUUAACAUAGGACCCUAUGAGAAAUACGUACAAAUGUUUUCUUUUAGAGAACCAUUGAAUGGAAUGAAACCAAACAUGGCAUGCAUGUUCCUUUUGAGGUGCUGACCAAGUGUUGUUACUUUGAAGCUGAUCCUUCAUCCAUGAUGGCUGCCAGAUGGGGACAAUGUUUAACAAAGGAUCCUAUGGACAAUACAUACAAAUGUCUUCUUUUAGAGAACCACAUACUGAAUGGAUUGAAACCAAACAUGGCAUGAAUGUUCCUUAUGAGGUGCUGAUUAAGUUUUGUUACUUUGAAGCUGGUCCUUCAUCCAUGAUGGCCGCCAAUGGGGGGGACUUCCUUUAACAUAAGAACCUAUGGGAAAUACAUACAAAUGCUUCUUCUAGAGGUGCACUGAAUGGAAUGAAACCAAAACAUGGCAUAAAUGUUUCUUAUGAGGUGCUGAUUAAGUGUUGCUACUUUGUUGCCGAUUUACUGUUCAAGAUGGCCACCAGGAUUUUUUAUUAAAUUACAGGACCAAUAUUAAACCAAAUUUGGCCUCACUCAUUAUUAGGGUAUCUGUUAUGAUAAUCUAUUUUUACAUGAUUUCCAAAACCAAAGUAGAAUCAGGUGAGCGACACAGGCUCUUGAGAGCCUCUAGUUUACA